UCCGCCGGGUGCCCUCGUUCAUCGGAAUUACUGGGCGUAAAGGGUGCGUAGGCGGUUUGUUAAGUCUGUUGUGAAAUCCCCGGGCUCAACCUGGGAAUGGCAAUGGAUACUGGCAAGCUAGAGUGUGUCAGAGGAUGGUGGAAUUUCCGGUGUAGCGGUGAAAUGCGUAGAGAUCGGAAGGAACAUCAGUGGCGAAGGCGGCCAUCUGGGACAACACUGACGCUGAGGCACGAAAGCGUGGGGAGCAAACAGG
RNAcentral lists this ribosomal RNA (253 nucleotides) under uncultured bacterium. RNAcentral describes it as "partial 16S ribosomal RNA". It matches the Rfam family "Bacterial small subunit ribosomal RNA", at positions 524 to 776 of the family's 1533-position model. The record is from RNAcentral.